Molecule: long non-coding RNA, 1168 nt
Filed under: Anolis carolinensis (green anole)
Lineage: Eukaryota; Metazoa; Chordata; Lepidosauria; Squamata; Anolidae
Description: lncRNA (ENSACAG00000039003.1)
Source: RNAcentral
UUUUACAACCGGAGGGAGAUCACCUCCAUCCCUGUGCCUUUUACUCUCGUCAACUAACCACACCAGAGAAAAAUUACACCAUUUGGGAAAAAGAACUACUGGCCAUUAAGGCAGCCUUUGAAACUUGGAGACAUUGGCUAGAAGGGGCCAAAUUCCCCAUUGAAGUCCACACUGAUCAUCGUAAUCUAGAACAUCUAAGAACUGCCCGCAAACUAAAUCAGAGGCAGCAACGUUGGGCUUUAUUCUUUGAACGUUUCAACUUCCAGAUUCAUUAUGUGACCCCAGCCCAGACCAAGCAAGCAGACGCCCUGUCACGUAAACCGGAAUACGCUGCAGGACGCAAGGAGACCUUUGAAUCCCAACUGCUACAACCCGAGAACUUUGCCACGCUCACGGUGGGGAACACCAAAUCCAUUCCCAUUGGUUCAAUUUCCUCUACUCCAGGACCCAUCUGUGCUCAAGAAAUCAGGGCUAGUCAGCAAGCAGAUGCCUGGGCGCAGGACCAACUUCGCCAAGGUCUGCAUUUUCCCUUUUCGCUUAAAGAUGGGCUGCUUUGCUAUAGAAAUCACGUUUAUAUCCCACCCGGACCGGGCAGGGAAAAAGCGCUUCGUCUGUGUCAUGACUGCAAACCAGCAGGACACUUCGGGCUAUUUAAAACUAUGCAUUUGAUCCUAAGGGAUUUUUGGUGGCCCAAGAUCCGCAAGGAUGUGGAAAAAUAUGUCAACACCUGCCCAGUAUGCCAGCGCUCCAAGAUACGAAGGGAGAAGCCCUCAGGGCUUUUACACCCCCUUCCUACCCCAUCUCGCCCAUGGGAAAUUAUUUCCGCGGAUUUCAUCACUGACCUACCACCUUCCUGUGGAUUCACCACGAUCUUAGUGGUGGUGGACCUUUUCACCAAGUUAGCCCAUUUCAUUCCCUGCGAAGGCCUCCCCACGGCCAAAGAGACUGCGGAUCUAUUCCUUCAACAUGUUUUCAGACUACAUGGAUUGCCCAAGAGUUUAGUCACAGACCGUGGAUCUCAAUUCACCUCUCGUUUUGGAAGGCACUACAAAAACUAUUGGGCAUAGACUCUCGCUUAUCUUCAGCUCAUCAUCCCCAAACAGAUGGGCAAACGGAGCGCACCAAUGCCACUUUGGAGCAAUAUCUUCGCUGUUAUGUAAACUACCAA